Long non-coding RNA from Sapajus apella (tufted capuchin), 123 nucleotides. RefSeq lists it as uncharacterized. The transcript is spliced from 3 exons. The record is from RefSeq and is a predicted model, not a curated record. Lineage: Eukaryota; Metazoa; Chordata; Mammalia; Primates; Cebidae.
AGGGAUGAUUAAUCAAUAAUAAAAUGUUGAGGGAUGAUCAUUUGAAUACAGGAUAUUAAUACUUCUAAAAACCAUUUUUCCAAUUACUUCAGUAUAAAUAAGUUGAUAUUUCGGUAUAAAAAG